RNAcentral lists this ribosomal RNA (467 nucleotides) under uncultured bacterium. RNAcentral describes it as "partial 16S ribosomal RNA". It matches the Rfam family "Bacterial small subunit ribosomal RNA", at positions 28 to 507 of the family's 1533-position model. The record is from RNAcentral.
GACGAACGCUGGCGGCGUGCUUAACACAUGCAAGUCGAACGAUGACGACCGAGCUUGCUCGGUCUGAUUAGUGGCGAACGGGUGAGUAACACGUGAGCAACCUGCCCUUCACUCUGGGAUAACCUCGGGAAAUCGGGGCUAAUACCGGAUAUGAGCUCCUGUCGCAUGGCGGGUGUUGGAAAGUUUUUCGGUGAAGGAUGGGCUCGCUGCCUAUCAGUUUGUUGGUGAGGUAGUGGCUCACCAAGGCGAUGACGGGUAGCCGGCCUGAGAGGGCCACCGGCCACACUGGGACUGAGACACGGCCCAGACUCCUACGGGAGGCAGCAGUGGGGAAUAUUGCACAAUGGGCGAAAGCCUGAUGCAGCGACGCCGCGUGAGGGAUGACGGCCUUCGGGUUGUAAACCUCUUUCAGCAGGGAAGAAGCGAAAGUGACGGUACCUGCAGAAGAAGCGCCGGCUAACUACGUG